UACGUAGGGUGCAAGCGUUAAUCGGAAUUACUGGGCGUAAAGCGUGCGCAGGCGGUUUUGUAAGUCUGUCGUAAAAGCCCCGGGCUCAACCUGGGAAUUGCGAUGGAGACUGCAAGGCUUGAAUCUGGCAGAGGGGGGUAGAAUUCCACGUGUAGCAGUGAAAUGCGUAGAGAUGUGGAGGAACACCGAUGGCGAAGGCAGCCCCCUGGGUCAAGAUUGACGCUCAUGCACGAAAGCGUGGGGAGCAAACAGG
Molecule: ribosomal RNA, 253 nt
Filed under: uncultured bacterium
Lineage: Bacteria
Description: partial 16S ribosomal RNA
Rfam family: Bacterial small subunit ribosomal RNA
Source: RNAcentral